This 238-nucleotide ribosomal RNA is filed under the name Triticum aestivum (bread wheat). Its description in RNAcentral is "partial small subunit ribosomal RNA". Lineage: Eukaryota; Viridiplantae; Streptophyta; Magnoliopsida; Poales; Poaceae. The record is from RNAcentral.
GUCAUGGAGGGAGAUGCCACGAUUUAGAAGGUGAUUACGAGUGUAAAUGCAAUUUUGGACGACGGGACGACGGUAACAAGGGGUGUGAACCCUUAUUGUCCAAGGCUGCAGUAGCAGUUAUAGGAACAAUCAUUGGCAUUGCAUUACUCGCGUUGCUACUCAUAUUCUUACUCAUGGAGCGAGAGAAAAGAAAGCUGAGAGAUAGGUUCAACAAGAACGGCGGACAACUAGUCAAAAG